ACCACCCCACCACCCCGCCGCCCGCGCCCGCACCACCCGCCGCCCCACCACCCCACCACACUCGAGCUCGCCGUUUCUCGCCGACCGGAGCCCAGCCGCCCCGCCCCUCCUUCCCGCCCUCCUGGAUCCAGCCGCAAUGGCGCCGUGCCGUCGGUGGCAGAUGUGGUCGGGACCCUGGUGCGGAGAAUGACACGGAUGCGCCGUCCCACGUUGGUGGCCGGUGCGGAUCAGGGAAGCGGGCGGAGCUCCUGCAGCAUUGCAGCCAUCGUCCUCUGUGUCACCGGCCGAGCAUGCACACUACUGAGCAUGGCGACGACGGCGUGCGCGAAGUACGCGGCUGAUAGCUCGCACGCGGUUUGACCUCUUGGACUUUCAUGCGGCCGUCGCGGGUUCCGGCAUCGGCAGCGUGCGGGAGAAGCGGGGUGCGGUGGCUCCCAACACAGGAGCGCAGGUGAAGAUGUUCUAACCUGUCGUGAGCACCUGCCCUUCGUCUGUGUCUUUCUGUAGAAAUGGCACUUUACUUCUAGGUUUCUUUCCGGGAGCAAUUAGUGGAGUACUAUGCAAACAAUAAAAGUUACAAAGAUGGUGAAGAGAUCAUGUUAACCAGCUUUGCUGACCUGUUCUCUCAGGAAUUUGGACUGUGGCGAAAGCCCAGAAAUCUUGGUGAUUGAAUAAACAUGGAACUAUAAUGUUUGUGAAAUGGAGAGGUUACAUGAUGAGGGGCAUGCCUGUAUUUCACUCAGUAGUGAGAUGAUGUAUAGGUGCUUGUCAGGGACUUUAUUUGUUCCUUAUUAUGUUUUAGUCCAAAAACAUCGACACUCAUUGGGUGUUAUAAUCUCCUGGGGGCCUUUUACUUGUUUCAGUUGUAUGAUUUGUUAAAGUGGCUAUGCUGGAUUGCCCUGAAGGUGGUAUGGAUAGCACAUUCAGGAUCGACUUCCAUCUCAAUAGUGAAAUUGCUUCUGUUGUUCAAGUGAGAGAAACAUGCAAGUAUCUUAAUGAUCCACUAAAUUAUUUUUGGUAAAAGUUUGCUUCACAUCCAUUGAGUAAUAUGAAGAGAAAUCAUGGUGCUUUUCCUUUCGUCAUGUACAAAAUUGUUUCCCGUCCAUUACUUAAUUUGUAGAUGAAUAAUAGGGUACUUAUUAUUUGCGUGCAUGGAUUUCAUUCAAAUAGAAUUUUCAAAGACAAAUUAAAUGCCAUACCUUACUAAACUCAGAUUAGCGCAUCCAGCAGAGAAAAGUUGUGUACUUAUUCCUAACAGUACCAAAUAAUUUAAAUUCUGAAUGGUUUUCGUCAGCAACUAUUGUGAGUUGUCUUUGCAAUUCCACAUAGUAAUCUUAUAUUUACUAAUUGGAGGCACCAUCCGAGAUACCACGUUAAUCCUAGAAACUAAUCAAAAUUAUCCGUUGGAUAUCCCCAUUGGUUUUCUACAACCGUGGGAUUGUAUCUGGCAAGAAGUCCAUGCACUUUAUCCCACCUCCCACGUCAAAUCCUCAUCUAUAGGCUGCAAAAGUGGAAAAGAAAAAAGAAAGGUAUGUACAACCAUAUGAUGAAGAUGCUCAGGAUUCCUUGCAAAAUAUCCCACGUGCCAACCUCUUCAUGGGCUUUGCAAGAAAGAAAGACUUCUCUCACGGGCUGCAAAAACAAAACGUGUGCCAAUCCGUCCACGAGAACCCUAGCGCCACUUCUCCUCACCACGUUGAUGACAGCAUUGUGCAUCAGAUAUUUUUCAUUCUCAUUAUGAUACUUGAUGUGUGGUUGAUUGUUGGGCUAAAUGUUUUAAAGACCUGAAUUGGUUACAAGUGCACCACAUUUUGCUUUUAAUAUCUUAAUCAUAUUUCAAACCGAUAUCUUACAGUUGGCCACUUAUACCUCUGCACAUAUGCAUGCAUCGUAGUGUAUAGUGUUAUCAUCCAACCUGAGGGAAAAUGAAAAAAUGUUGUAAUAAUACGAGUAUGCAUACAUAUGUAUAAUUAACAACCUGAGGGAAAUUUAUACUCAACAAGGUUCGAAUUUAGUUCUCGAUCUUCUGUACGUAUCUUAGUAAAUUGGUCGCUACUUGCAGGAAAUGUGUCGGACGAAAAAGUUAAUAAUGCAUCAGUACAGCUUACAUCAUCAGUGGAUUUACAGUUCAAACUUCUGUGAGGGGCUGUGCUGCUGUCUGCCCAUGUCCCGAAGUGCAUUUGCUAGGAGAUAUUUAUCCUUUCUAUUUUACUUGAUCCAGUAUGCAUCCAUCCUGAUAGAUGAUAGGUUAGUCAACAAUUUGCUUUUAGCUUCUUCGGACUUUAAUAUUUUUUUGUGUCCCAAAAACUGCUGCAAGGCAUGUAUAAGGCGCAAGAGGUGAAAGAGGCAUAUACUAGACUUUAAUAAAGUUUCAGGCUUAAUUAUUUUGAUGGUCACAACUCACAACUGACAGAGUUGCAAGACUGUAUGUAUGUUAAUUAUUUUGGAUGGAAAAACACAUAGUCUGAUUGUGAUUGUGAUCUUGACUUUGUACAUCUUCUCAAUGUUUCCACUUUGAUAAUAUAGAAUUAGUAUGCAUGAAGAAUUAGUUAACUAUUUUUUAGAAUGGCAAGACUUUAAGAAAGUUGUCUGUUGUUUGUAAAUAUCGGAAUAUUAUUUGUUCCCACAAUUGUAUUGUUUCCAAAACAUUACUGACAGUGAAAUAAAUUUAAAUUCAUAUACUAUGAGGCAACAAAAUAGUAUCAUCAUGUUGAAUAAAUUUAAAUACUAUUUUUGUGUAUGGAUAAAUGGUUUUUUUGUUUUAACAAUAAACUUUCAACAACCUAAAAAAAUAUACACUCAUGAUUAGUCAUUUUUAAUAUAGUUAAUAUUAUAAAAAAUAUUCUACUAAUAAAGUAUAAUCUGUACAACUAGCCCGUGCAGACUGCACGGGUUGACGGCUAGUUAGUUAUAAUGUCAUACCUUGCACCAUUUUCAGAAAUCAACAGUUUACCCUGCCUGAUGCUUUAUCCCUUGGAAGAAAUCUUUAUGGUGCUUCCGUGCUCUCCUAAAAGCCAGUUUAAACAGACUUAAAGAGUAGUGUUAUCAACUGAUAGUAAGAGAGCACCCUCAUCUUGCUUUCAACCACUUGCUUCUGGGCUUCACUUAUAUUUUUAUGUACUGAACAAUCUCCGCAAAGUUCGCAUUCUCCUACUGAAUUAAUAGUGCCAAGUCAUAAGUCUGCAGCUAAAUUUGAGGGAGAAGAAAUUAUCAAAAGACAACAUAGGAUAAAUGUUACAUAUUCGUAGAUUAUUAAUGUUAUUAGAAAUGCACUGCCUGCAUACUAUUUGGUGUCACCAAAAAUCCUUCGACUAUAGUGUUCAUCAUCUAAUGUAUAUUCUUGUUGUUUUCCUCAUGGCCCUGUUUUAAAUGUUUUGUACAUGAUGUCCCUGAAAAAACUGGAGUUGAUAUACCCAGGCCAAGUAUCACUUUCUUUAGAAAUAAGGCUAGGAUACCUGAUGUUAACACUGUCCUAACAGUAUGCUGGGACACAUUCAUUCUGUGAUUCAUGGUAGAAAUAUUUGUUGGCUAUAUUCCAUUGAAUAGGUUAUGAUCUAAUCUGUGAAGCAAUUAAUUUCUGCAUUUUCUGUUGUUCAUUCGCGCUGUUAGAUUAUCCAGGAUCACAUUUAACUUGGUAGUACUUAAAUUGCUGCAACUUCACUUUUCUGUCUGUUUAGUGAAUAACGUGUGUACAUUUGUUCUUUCCUAUACAAUAUCAGAUCUGCCAUAUGCAUGAAGUGGAUGCACCGGGACCUCAAACCAGAGAAUUUCUUGUUUGCAAACUGGAAAGAAACGGCUGCACUGAAAGCAAUUGAUUUUGGCCUGUUUGUUUUGUUUUUCACUCCAAGUAGAGUCAAUCCUAAUAUCCUAUAUGGCUAUCGUUGAAGCUUUCCAUUUUGACCCGUCUGUCACUUGUCGAUGAUAUGGUCAGAGGACAAAGCUGAGCUGAUACAGUAGCCUGUCUUAUGCUAUAUUUAGUUUUUGUUUUGACCUUGUGAAACUUGCUACCUAUGGAUGAAACUGUGUAAUAUUGAUGAAACUAUGUAUAUGUACGGAUGAAACUUGCUACUAUUGGUAACAUGUGUUGGAUAUAUAUGUGUUCAUGACUAUUGGUAAUA
Molecule: RNA transcript, 4118 nt
Organism: Triticum aestivum (bread wheat)
Lineage: Eukaryota; Viridiplantae; Streptophyta; Magnoliopsida; Poales; Poaceae
Gene name: calcium-dependent protein kinase 20
Exons: 4
Source: RefSeq, a predicted model, not a curated record